CCUCUGACUCCCAAGCCUGAGCUCUUGCCACUAAGCCACGAGUGGAACAGUGUUAAAGGAAUCCAAUUUCCUGAUAGCUGCCCUGUGUGGAGAGAAUCUCAGCAUCAGCAGCACCUUCUUUGACUACAAAGGACAUAUCCACAAGACCAGUCCUACCCUAAAGACCCUGAAGAUCAUCAGACACUGUGUCCAUCCUCCCACUGCCCUUCUCCAGGAAUCAAGAAAAAAAAGACAGCAAUGGCCAGCUUUCCAGGCUUCAUAUUGUCCCAAAGAACCACAUGGACUAAGAAUUGGCCAAUUUGUAUGAACAGUUGGAGAAUGGAGACAAUACGAACCUUCAGAUCCCACCUCCUCUUCAAUAAAAUGCAGUUCACAAAGUUUUCUUGGAGCAAACAUUCCUUCCACUUGGUACAAUGUUUCAACUCAAGAUGAAAGAUUUCGGUGGCAGACAUGAAGGAGUAAAUGAGAAGAUAUAGGGAUGAAAAUCCAGUCAGUCUUUGAAAGAGAAAAAGGGGAAUACAUAACUCAAGGUAAACUCUGGGAAGAUGACUCUAGGGAUCAGUAAACUAGGAUUUACUACAAGACUCAAGUAUCAUUUUGGAGAACAAGGGAUUUACAAAUCUACUACCAAACUUUCUAACUCGAAUGUCAUAAGAUGUGUCAUAUUUUGAGCAUAUGGGAAAUGGUAUCCAACCAUCUGCUCAGGAAAUAACCACUGGAAUGUGUGAGGGGGAGAUAAUGCACAUAUUGAGCAUGGAAUUAUUGGCUAGAGGGAAAGAUAGGGAGGUGGGGGUCUUGCGUUCCACAAAGAAAGUGUGAAAGAAUGCUGAAGAAAUGGAGAAUCCAAGUCUCUGAAAUGAUCUCAGAGAUCUACAGUCAUGGAAUUAUUGCACUAUACUACCAAUGUGAAAGAUGAAAAAGCCAGUGACACAAUUUUAGUAUUAGCUCUAGUUUGGGCAUCUCUGGAAAGUUUGAAUUAGGAAAGAAGCCCAAGAUUACCUUGAGAUUUCUUGGCAUAAUCUAAGGAUAAAAGUAAGGAUCUAAGCUUUUGGAUAUAGUAGCUUAUCAUAUAAUUGGGGGAAAAUAAGAGUUAGAAAUCACGGGGGUACAGAUUUAAGAAGACCUACUGGAUGAUGUCUUUAAGUAUGGUAAAGAUUAAUGAGCUGAAGUCUGAACCUGAAUUCUGAGUAAAAUAGUUGUACCUCCUUUAAAUAAGAGUAGAAGGCAACAUCAAUGAAUCAGUCCAGGAUGGGUUGAAUGCAAAUAUUUGUACAUAAGGAGCAAAAGAGAUAGGUGCCUUGAAAUGAUCUGAAUAUUAAGAAGUUGUUGAGAAUAAAAAGUGAAAAAUGGCAUAUCUUUAUUUGCAGGUUGAAAAUGCAAGUAACCAUGUAAAAAGUAAAUUCAUAUUAAGUUCACUUAGGUAGAAUUUGAAAGGUUAUCAGUAAUACCUUCUUCAUAUUGUUUAGGGAAGUUAUUCUAUGCUAAGAUGGUAAAUACUUAUAACCUCCCUCCCGGCAUAGAGUGAUAGUACUUAGGACUCAUUACUAUGAACCAUUACUCAACUCUAUUUCUCACAGAUGGAAAAGAUAAUCUCCUUGUUCUUCUGGAGUUAAAGAGAAACCUCAAUUAAAAUGAAAAGAAUUUUGAAGUCCACUUUAGGUAAUACAUGGGAAGCUGAAGUUGUCUUAAUCUAUGAGGAAGCAGCGUGGCUAGUGGAAAGAGCCCGGGCUUGGGAGUCAGAG
Molecule: long non-coding RNA, 1742 nt
Organism: Ornithorhynchus anatinus (platypus)
Lineage: Eukaryota; Metazoa; Chordata; Mammalia; Monotremata; Ornithorhynchidae
Exons: 5
Source: RefSeq, a predicted model, not a curated record